RNAcentral lists this ribosomal RNA (445 nucleotides) under uncultured bacterium. Its description in RNAcentral is "partial 16S ribosomal RNA". It matches the Rfam family "Bacterial small subunit ribosomal RNA", at positions 354 to 796 of the family's 1533-position model. The record is from RNAcentral.
GUGAGGAAUAUUGGUCAAUGGGCGAGAGCCUGAACCAGCCAAGUCGCGUGAAGGAAGAAGGAUCUAUGGUUCGUAAACUUCUUUUGCAGGGGAAUAAAGUGCGGGACGUGUCCUGUUUUGUAUGUACCCUGAGAAUAAGGAUCGGCUAACUCCGUGCCAGCAGCCGCGGUAAUACGGAGGAUCCGAGCGUUAUCCGGAUUUAUUGGGUUUAAAGGGUGCGUAGGUGGUUUGAUAAGUCAGCGGUGAAAGUUUGCAGCUUAACUGUAAAAAUGCCGUUGAAACUGUCGGACUUGAGUGUAAAUGAGGUAGGCGGAAUGCGUGGUGUAGCGGUGAAAUGCAUAGAUAUCACGCAGAACUCCGAUUGCGAAGGCAGCUUACUAAGCUACAACUGACACUGAAGCACGAAAGCGUGGGGAUCAAACAGGAUUAGAAACCCCAGUAGUCC